This 59-nucleotide transfer RNA is filed under the name Dipodomys ordii (Ord's kangaroo rat). It matches the Rfam family "tRNA", at positions 7 to 64 of the family's 71-position model. Rfam says of the family: Transfer RNA (tRNA) molecules are approximately 80 nucleotides in length. Their secondary structure includes four short double-helical elements and three loops (D, anti-codon, and T loops). Further hydrogen bonds mediate the characteristic L-shaped molecular structure. tRNAs have two regions of fundamental functional importance: the anti-codon, which is responsible for specific mRNA codon recognition, and the 3' end, to which the tRNAs corresponding amino acid is attached (by aminoacyl-tRNA synthetases). tRNAs cope with the degeneracy of the genetic code in two manners: having more than one tRNA (with a specific anti-codon) for a particular amino acid; and 'wobble' base-pairing, i.e. permitting non-standard base-pairing at the 3rd anti-codon position. The record is from Rfam by way of RNAcentral. Lineage: Eukaryota; Metazoa; Chordata; Mammalia; Rodentia; Heteromyidae.
GUAGUUCAGUGGUAGAGCAUUUGCCUAGCAUGUAAAAGGCCUUAGGUUUGAUCCCUAGC